CUGGGGGGUGCUACCAUGCAAGUCGAACGUGAUCCGCCCUUCGGGGUGGUGAAAGUGGCGCACGGGUGAGUAACGCGUGGAUAAUCUGCCCGAGGAUUUGGGAUAACAUCUCGAAAGGGGUGCUAAUACCGAAUAAGCCCACGGGGUCUACGGAUCUUGCGGGAAAAGGGGGGGACCUUCGGGCCUCCUGUCCUUGGAUGAGUCUGCGUACCAUUAGCUAGUUGGUGGGGUAAUGGCCUACCAAGGCGACGAUGGUUAGCUGGUCUGAGAGGAUGAUCAGCCACACUGGAACUGAGACACGGUCCAGACUCCUACGGGAGGCAGCAGUGGGGAAUUUUGCGCAAUGGGGGAAACCCUGACGCAGCAACGCCGCGUGGGUGAUGAAGGCCUUCGGGUCGUAAAGCUCUGUCUGGAGGGAAGAAAUGAUUGGGAGCUAAUACCUCUUGAUCUUGACGGUACCUCUGAAGGAAGCACCGGCUAACUCCGUGCCAGCAGCCGCGGUAAUACGGAGGGUGCAAGCGUUGUUCGGAAUUAUUGGGCGUAAAGCGCGUGUAGGCGGUCUUUUAAGUCUGAUGUGAAAGCCCCGGGCUCAACCUGGGAAGUGCAUUGGAAACUGGGAGGCUUGAGUACGGGAGAGGAGAGUGGAAUUCCUAGUGUAGGAGUGAAAUCCGUAGAUAUUAGGAGGAACACCGGUGGCGAAGGCGGCUCUCUGGACCGAUACUGACGCUGAGACGCGAAAGCGUGGGUAGCAAACAGGAUUAGAUACCCUGGUAGUCCACGCCGUAACGAUGAGUACUAAGGUGUUUGCGGGUAUUGACCC
Molecule: ribosomal RNA, 820 nt
Filed under: uncultured Geobacter sp.
Lineage: Bacteria; Pseudomonadati; Thermodesulfobacteriota; Desulfuromonadia; Geobacterales; Geobacteraceae
Description: bacterial SSU rRNA
Rfam family: Bacterial small subunit ribosomal RNA
Source: RNAcentral